RNAcentral lists this long non-coding RNA (647 nucleotides) under Daphnia magna. RNAcentral describes it as "uncharacterized LOC116924780, transcript variant X1". Lineage: Eukaryota; Metazoa; Arthropoda; Branchiopoda; Diplostraca; Daphniidae. The record is from RNAcentral.
GUUGGUCUACUAUAUAUGGUGUCAGAGAAAUAAGACGGGAUUUCCGGUUUCUUGAGGUUGCUAUAAAAAGCCCUGGUUGAUCAAAGGAAAAACCAUCGACAAGCGAUUGUUUCAUCCACGUUCGUCAGAGGAACAGCAAAGAGAAAAGAAAAUGCUUCGCCUUGCAGUAAUUAUUGUUUUAUUAGCAGUAAUCGUUUCUUCCGCACUUGCGCAACUGAUUCCUUACCACUAUUUUCCGCCAGGCGGUUUCCACCACCACCACCAUGGGCAUCAUCACCACCAUGGACAUCACCACCAUCAUGGACAUCAUCACCACCAUGGACAUCAUCAUCAUCAUGGACAUUACCAUGGCUAAAUCAGCCAACAGUUUUGCUAGAUUUCUAUGUAGACAAUUUCUUUCUGGUGUCAGCGUUUGUAUCAGCGUGAAUUAUACCCUUUACAUAUACACGUAAAGCAGCAAAAAGCUAACAAAAUGAUUUACAGUUACUAUUACGCUCAAGUUUCCUAACAGGCGAGAGCACUAGGUAAACAAGAAACAGUUAGGGCAAUUUUCUUCACUUUUGACAAAAGAGAAAGCGCUAAGUUCAGGGGAAAUGUUGAUCUCUGCUAUUCUAUAGAGUGAUAUUCUCAACAUUGACAAGUCCAGU